This is a ribosomal RNA of 582 nucleotides. The stretch from base 223 to 376 matches the Rfam family "5.8S ribosomal RNA".
GGGGCAUUGGUUUCAAUCAUGCAGUGCGGCGCGGCCCCCGAGGAGCGGAAACAAUCCUUGGGAGGUAUGCGGGGGCUUCGAGCCCCCCAUUUACGCACGCACGACUGCCAUCCUUACUUUACGAGCACCUUCUGUUCUCCCUCGGCGGGGCAACCUGCCGUUGGAACCGAAUAAACUCUUUUUGCAUCUAGCAUUACCUGUUCCGAAACAAACAAUCGUUACAACUUUCAACAAUGGAUCUCUUGGCUCUGGCAUCGAUGAAGAACGCAGCGAAAUGCGAUAAGUAGUGUGAAUUGCAGAAUUCAGUGAAUCAUCGAAUCUUUGAACGCACAUUGCGCCCCUCGGUAUUCCGUGGGGCAUGCCUGUUCGAGCGUCAUCUACACCCUCAAGCUCUGCUUGGUGUUGGGCGUCUGUCCCGCCUCCGCGCGUGGACUCGCCCCAAAUUCAUUGGCAGCGGUCCUUGCCUCCUCUCGCGCAGCACAUUGCGCUUCUCGAGGGGCUACGGCUCGCGUCCAACAAGCACAUUUACCGUCUUUGACCUCGGAUCAGGUAGGGAUACCCGCUGAACUUAAGCAUAUCAAA